Long non-coding RNA from Strongylocentrotus purpuratus (purple sea urchin), 281 nucleotides. RefSeq lists it as uncharacterized. The transcript has 3 exons. The record is from RefSeq and is a predicted model, not a curated record. Lineage: Eukaryota; Metazoa; Echinodermata; Echinoidea; Camarodonta; Strongylocentrotidae.
GUCUGCCGUGGACGUCCUCACUUGGAGGCCUGGACGUCACACCCCGCCCGCCAGGAAGAUACAUACGAGAACGUUCCUCGUGUUCCUAAUCCGAAGAAUUGGCAUAGACAGCAGCGAACAUCCAAGCACAAGCAGGCCCUCAAAAAGACACAAGAACUGUACGAAGAUUUUCAUCAGACGGUAGUGCUUCAGGAAAAGCAUGAGAACGAGUACGAGACUCCAGAUUUUCGCAGGGAUCCCUUGCCGGAAAGUGAUAACCGUCUCUCUGGCUGUAGUACUUC